Molecule: ribosomal RNA, 141 nt
Filed under: Syngnathus rostellatus (Nilsson's pipefish)
Lineage: Eukaryota; Metazoa; Chordata; Actinopteri; Syngnathiformes; Syngnathidae
Description: partial small subunit ribosomal RNA
Source: RNAcentral
AACUGGGAUUAGAUACCCCACUAUGCAUAACUGUAAACAUCGAUAGCAAUUUACUCGCAAUCCGCCAGGGAACUACAAGCAUUGGCUUGAAACCCAAAGGACUUGGCGGUGCUUUAGACCCACCUAGAGGAGCCUGUUCUA